RNAcentral lists this unclassified non-coding RNA (156 nucleotides) under uncultured Trichoglossum. RNAcentral's name for it is "sequence contains ITS1". Lineage: Eukaryota; Fungi; Ascomycota; Geoglossomycetes; Geoglossales; Geoglossaceae. The record is from RNAcentral.
CCGAGUUAGGGUCCUAUGUUUGGCCCGACCUCCAAACCUAUGUGUACUAUGCAAUAUACUGUUGCUUUGGCAGGUGAUAAUUGAUGCCCUGCCAGAGCCCCAAACUCAAUAUUUUUUAAAAUGUGGUGUCUGAGUUGAAAUGUAAUUAAUCAAUCA